RNAcentral lists this non-coding RNA (31 nucleotides) under Mus musculus (house mouse). The record is from RNAcentral. Lineage: Eukaryota; Metazoa; Chordata; Mammalia; Rodentia; Muridae.
UGCAGGUUUGUUAAAGAGAAGCAGACUCCAC